UUUCCCUCUGAGCAAAAGGGCAUUGCCAACAUAUUUGGAUAAGGUAUUGCUUCACUCAAUAAUUGCUCCACACUUAGUUUUCGCUAAAUAACUCUUCGCAAAAUUACUGAUACUCAACUCGUGUUUUCAAUUAUCAUCACUCGUUUUGGAGCGUCAAAGAUGCACCGGCCAGAAGAUGCAAGUUUCUUCAAUUCAUCAGCAAAUUGCGCAACUGGGCACCAUAAUCGUUUCCCUUCGUUAAGGCUGCCUUCGUUCGACAGGAAGUAUGGUGACUACAUGAAGUUUAUCACUGCCUUUACUAGCAUGGUACAUGAUGACGCUUCAAUAUAAACUGUUGACAAAUUUAACAACCUGCUUAACUGUUUGUCUGGUCCCGCGCUGAGUGUCGUGGCCCCCUUUCAAGUGUCCGAAAUCAAUUAUCCAAAGGUGUUAAGGCAGUUAAAGGAGCGCUACGAUAAAAAGGUUUUUAUUUUCAUAGAGCUCAUUUCUAGCUUAUUUGAUAUUCAAAUUAUGAAAAGAUUUAAGUUCCGCAUUGAUUGUCGCUUAGUGAAUUAAGGAGGACAUACUGCGAAUAAAACGGCUUUACAACGGCAGUCAGCCUGCGUUACCUUUCUACUUGCUGCUCGAGCAGAGGUACGCAGCUUGUUAAUACUAAAAUUGGUGAUAAACUGUUAGCCCAACGGCAAUGAAAACGACAAUCAUGAGGCGCGCUGAAGGGUUAUGCGUCUUUAAAGGGUCAGGCUUCCAAUAAAUUCAUAAAAUCACUCUGGACACAGCCUACGGGAAACUUAAAGAAAAAGUGUGAAACACACUAUUGAACACCGCAAGUACAUCAUGGAAGAAGAAGAAAUGCAGUUACCCAGGAUUAAUAUUACGAAAUUAGAAAAACAAUUAUAAUAAAGGUGACAAUUCUUCGGUUUUCAUAUGCCCAACAA
This is a long non-coding RNA of Drosophila eugracilis, 935 nucleotides long. RefSeq lists it as uncharacterized. Lineage: Eukaryota; Metazoa; Arthropoda; Insecta; Diptera; Drosophilidae. The transcript is spliced from 2 exons. The record is from RefSeq and is a predicted model, not a curated record.